RNAcentral lists this transfer RNA (71 nucleotides) under Ovis aries (sheep). It matches the Rfam family "tRNA". Rfam says of the family: Transfer RNA (tRNA) molecules are approximately 80 nucleotides in length. Their secondary structure includes four short double-helical elements and three loops (D, anti-codon, and T loops). The record is from Rfam by way of RNAcentral. Lineage: Eukaryota; Metazoa; Chordata; Mammalia; Artiodactyla; Bovidae.
UCCCUUGUGGCUCAGUGGGUAAAGAACCCACCUGCAAUGUGGGAUACCUGGGUUUGAUCCCUGCAUUGGGA